UUUGAUCAUGGCUCAAAACGAACGCUGGCGGCAGGCCUACCUUUUGCAAGUCAAACGCCCUGGCAACAGGGAGGGGCAAACGGGUGCGUAACGCGUGGGAACAUGCCCUUUGGUUCGAAAUAACUCAGGGAAACUUGAGCUAAUACCGGAUAACCCCGAGAGGGGAAAGAUUUAUCGCCAAAGGAUUGGCCCGCGUCUGAUUAGCUAGUUGGUGAGGUAAUGGCUCACCAAGGCAACAAUCAGUAGCUGGUCUGAAAGGAUGAUCAGCCACACUGGGACUGAAACACGGCCCAAACUCCUACGGGAGGCAGCAGGGGGGAAUAUUGGACAAUGGGCGCAAGCCUGAUCCACCCAUGCCGCGUGAGUGAUGAAGGCCUUAGGGUUGUAAAGCUCUUUUACCCGGGAAGAUAAUGACGGUACCGGGAGAAUAACCCCCGGCUAACUUCGUG
This 449-nucleotide ribosomal RNA is filed under the name uncultured bacterium. RNAcentral describes it as "bacterial SSU rRNA". It matches the Rfam family "Bacterial small subunit ribosomal RNA", at positions 12 to 507 of the family's 1533-position model. The record is from RNAcentral.